This 4776-nucleotide long non-coding RNA is filed under the name Triticum aestivum (bread wheat). Its description in RNAcentral is "long non-coding RNA (TAES_LNC016313)". The record is from RNAcentral. Lineage: Eukaryota; Viridiplantae; Streptophyta; Magnoliopsida; Poales; Poaceae.
CCCACGCGAGGGAAAGAUCAGCGUUGCUGCAGCCACCGCAGGACACCCACCAUGCGCGUACCAUACAGGCAGCAGCAGCCUCACUUCACCUUGGAUGACAUGACGAUUAUGAAAUAUUCAGUCAUCCCCCUUGGGUCUACCUGUUAGAAACUUGGACCUACUCAUGUGUUUGAGGUAAUGCUUGAAUAAAAUAGCUAUGCAAAUUUUUAUUUCUUUUCAGAUGGAUGAGGAGUGCUUAAAGAAAAGAUCUACUCUAUGGUUGUUUCUCUGCAGAUGAUUGUGCAGAAAAGAUGAAAAACGGGAUAAAAUUCUAUGUGAGAGAUGACCGCUAAAGGUACUUAAUUUUGGUAGAUAAUGUUGUGUGCAGAUUUCUUUCUACAAGAUGUGGGUGUAAAUUCUUAUUGUUGCAAUGAUGCAGUAGCAGUGGCGCAAGGUCGACAAUUUUUUACUUCCAUAUAUUCAGUCCUUGCAUGCAUUUUCUGAGUAUGUUCACGAUUAGUAUGCAGGUUAUUUGUUUCCCCAAUAUGGACCGCGACAUAGGGAAAUAUUAGCAUUGCUUCAACCAUGGCAAGACACCCACCAUGCGUGCACCUUACAAGUUGCAGCAGCUUCACUUGGUUGUCAAUGACAUAUCGAGUAUAAAAUAGAUAGCUAGCUGCAAGCAUUGCUGCUCCCCGCCCGACAGAGCAAACUUUUGCAACAUGCCCUUUUCUCAUCUGCCCCAUUCCAGCCAUCCCUCCAUCUACCUGUUGGACUUGCUCACCUUGUGUUUGGGGUAAUGCCUAAUGAAAAUAGAUAGCGAUGAUUAUUUCUUUUCACAUGAUUGUGGUGAUUUAAAAUCUAAGAAAAUAUCCUUUGGUGUUGAAUUUAGGAUACAGUGCAUGACAUAUUAUUAAAUCCCAUACAACAGAGUCUUAGGUAUUUUAUUUUCUGACCAAAUUAUGAUUUUUACUGCAAAAUCAAAUUAUGAAUGCUUAAUCUAAGGUAUUUCUUACUCUGUUUGAUCUAGGUUUCUAUCAAUUAUUACCUGCCUUUUGAAUUUUAUUUUGUGGGGAUUUCUCUUCUGAGUUAUGUUGAGGUGAAUGUAGCUACUGGUCAUACUUUAACCACAUGUCAAUUGCAGGAGUGCGAUGCCACCAUCAUGUGCCACAAACCAUACCAAGAACGGCGGGUUAUGGAUAGAGUUCAUUUGAUCCAUCUGAUAAAAAUACCUAUUGGGGAAUAAGCAUGAAAAGUAAUCAACCACUCUUUCCGCAGUGGAGUUCGGGUAUGCCUGCUCCUCUAUUUAUUUGACUAUUGUUAGAUUGGUUCAUCCUGGUAUGACAUGUUAAUGAAGGUGUUCUUUCAUUCCUCAUACGAUCUGGAUACCUUUCAAUUGAUUAGUUCUUCUUUUGGAUUACUCUAUAUUAAUUCCCUAUGUGUAUCUUUAUUAUGUUCCUCUAGACUGAGUAAGAAAAUUAUUUUGUUGAUAUUAGUUUCAAGGGAACAUGGUACCUACGACACAGGAAGAUUACUGAAAAUCAGUUCAAAAUCUAAUCAAGUCUAAUCUUCUCUGUUGUCUGUACUGCAGCCAUGAUGAUCAGAAGUUUAGGACCACACUGUAGUCAAGAAAAAGGAAUGAUCUUCGUAAGCUACACCCUUUCGAUCCCAAUCUUACCUUUUUUUAAAUUAGUUUUGUUAGUGCUUCCAUUACUUCCAUUAAAAUAUGCUUAAUGGGCUAGAGACUGUACCUUUUCAGAAAGUUAUAGUGUGUGGUAUGUUUGCUGAACUUUUGAUGACAGUUCUUCAGGCAGGAUUUUCGUCCCUAUAUUUUAACUUUGAACAUCAUUAUAUUUAGACAAAUGAUGUGUUUACUGAAUUAUCGUUGUUUAAUUUUUGAAGUUAUGCCUUUCGUAAUAUUCAACUGUAGAUAGACCAAAAGAUAUAGGUAUUAAAUUUUGUGGCUCUAGCAUAGAUGUUUAUCACCACAGUGACAUUUAUUUUUCAAUUUAGAUAAGAAAAAAGAGAUAAGUAUUGAACAGAGAGUAGAGAGGAUAAGAGCAUUGUAGUUCAGCGUGGUUCAUGCCAAAGACUAUGAUACAUAUAAUUUCUUAGGAUAGUGAAAAUUCAUUGAUGAUGCAGUGGAAGUAACACAAGUUCUGCUAGAAUUUCUCUCACAUAAUAUGGAUAGAGGUGGGUUUUGCAUAAUCCAUCUCAGUAACAAGCUUGCAUUGAGUUAUUCUUUUCAAGAAGCUUACCAUGCACAACUACAGGAUACUUGUAGUUCUCAGUGGCAAUUCAUAGCUACAUUCUUCAAUGGGAGACCUAGCAUGCCUUGAGUACAACAAUACAUGAUCGUCUGGCAACAAACUGUUCAUGAUUGAUGCAUAAUAUGUCCUCUGUCUGCAUUUUAAGUAUUUAUAUUAAUAUUUCUGGUUAUCACUGCGGGAGUUGAAAUGGAUUUGAUGAGGGAAGUCUGCAAUGCAGACUGUGUUAAGUGUACCCGCUCCAGAUUUCAUCGACAGUAAAUGGUCCACUGCUAUUGGCAGGUGCCUUCUUGCACUCUUCUGACCCAGAUACGUAAGUGCAUCGCUCAAAACUCACAGAGAGGCACAACUUUGAAAUGGUUUUAUUUAAACAAUGAAACAAUGUUAUUUGACUGAAAAUCUAUACUAUAUUUUGAUUAUGGGGACACAGCUGAAAUGUAUACACCAAGAAAACAUAACUCUUUUCAGUUGAAUUUCAAAUUCAUGUUGUGGAAAUCAAAUCCAUUUCAAAUUCCAUGAUUUCGGCUAGAAUGAUUAAUGCUACGCCGCUGCUGAUGCCAAAGGUUGUGACACUUUUUUAAUGAUAGUGCAAAUUGAUUGAUGAUGCAGCGCAAGUAGUACAAGUUCAUCAUGUCCACUGCCCAUCCAUGAAUUGUUUUACGAUUGUUUUUCCCGCUGCAAUACACGGGCACAUUGUAGGAGGAAUAUGUAUGCGUUGGUGGGUGCUGGAGGUUCCCUGCAACACCCGAGGAUCCGAUGGCGAGCCGUAGGUCGGGGAAGUCGUCAGCAUACAUAUAAGGAGAUGGAGGUGGAGGUGGCGGUGGAGGGAGACGGGCAUUCACUACUCGUCGGAGGGCGAGGGCACGGAGGACAACCGGCAUGACGAUUACCACGCCUUCCUCCCGUCGAAUCACUCAAGCACGACGUCCUGGUCCUCUCUAUCCAUUGGCCCCCUCCAACAUCUACCAUGAUGACCACAUCUUGUUUGUGUAGCAGAAGCGGCGGCCAUCCAUGAUCUUCUUUUGUGCCGACCUGCUAGAAACAGGUACAUGCGCCGGCCUCCAUGGCAAGGUAGUGCAGUUAGAUGUUGCAAUGGAUCCGUUCGUUCGAGAUCAUCUAAUUUGUUUUCUCAUUUUUCAUCAGGUUGGGCUAUAGACAACUAGAGAUUGGUCACCUGUCUAGCAGCUCAUUUCUGAAAACAAAGACCAGGUCUAUGUGUUCAAAAUCAUGAAGGAGGAUGUCAAAGUGUUUCUGCAGCGCAUCAGGUCUAUGUUUUCCAUUGCCCUGGACUUGCGUGUAAUAGUACAUAGAGUUUAGUCUGAUUCUAAAGAAAUAUAUGGCUAUCUGAUUUUAAAGAACAAGAGAAGAAAAUAUAGAUAUGCAUCUUCACGUGUGUGCAUUAAAUUCGUUUUGAUUCUGUUAAUUUUUUUUGUUGCAGGCGGAAGAAAAAAGCAACAUGAAGUUCCCAUCUACAUCAAACUGCUUUCACUUAUAUUCUGCCAAAUUUGUUCCAUCUAUAGGACUGUACAUGGAGAUUAUCUAUAAGGGUUAUGUCCCGUGCAAGGAGAUUAUCUUAUAGGACAGGCAUAUCAGCCCCCAUUCAGACAUAGCAGAUAUUCAACAGAAGAAGUUCCUCCACUGCUACUGGCCAAACUCUAAGCAAAAAGACCUUCCACUUUCCUUGCUAAUGGUGAGCAACUCAAAGAUGGCUACAAGGUUACACUUAAUAUUUACUCUCUGAAUAACAUAUUAUUUAUUUGACCAAUACAUGUAUAAAUGCCUUGAGAGAACAUGUAUAUAUAGCUGCAUAUAUGUUAUAUCUGAACAAUGGCAGAUUUGACCAUUAAUUACAUGUAUAUACUUGCUAGGAGAGAACGUGUAUAGCUUUCAGUUAAGCUUUUCGAUCAUUAAGCUGUUGCUUUCUCAUCUUAUUUCUAGGUAGAAACAUUAUUGGUGUUCUUUAGCUUAAUUUUGAAACAUGAACACCAUCAUGUCUUCAUCGCCGAAAGUGACGUUCUUUCCCAUUAAUCUGUGCACUCGAAAACUAUUCAAAUAUAUAUUUCCACUUGGUAGUUUUCGUAUGUCCAAUGGUUUGACGGGUGUGCAUUUUCAGGAGAGUUAGCAAAUCUUUUUCCAGUCAUCUGGUCCAUGUAGAUAACAAGUGCUAUUUGAAAUGAAAAUGCAGUUGGCUGCCAAUUUUAUCUUGCGUAUAUGACUGAAUUAUUUUGUCCUGUUAGUUUUAUGUCUAUAUAUGCAGUCUGGUGAAUAUAUGGAUAUUUUAUUAAGUGGAGAAGUUUGGUACUCUGAGUAAGCACUCGAUUCCUUGUUAGGUCCUGCUAGAUUGAUCUUUAAGGGAUCAUUUUAGUUCGUUCUUCGACCAAACACAUUACAAACGGGCAGGAAAUGAUUCUUUUCCGAUCCAUCUCGAUCUCCUUCCGAAUCAAUUCCUGAUUCUCUAUUCCUAAUGUAUGACUUGGUAGCCUCGCCUUUAUGUUUUUUUUUGUCUGUUUUUUUGUCUCACCUCUCAUUG